This 273-nucleotide ribosomal RNA is filed under the name uncultured bacterium. RNAcentral describes it as "partial 16S ribosomal RNA". It matches the Rfam family "Bacterial small subunit ribosomal RNA", at positions 524 to 796 of the family's 1533-position model. The record is from RNAcentral.
UACGGAGGGUGCAAGCGUUAUCCGGAUUCACUGGGUUUAAAGGGUGCGUAGGAGGGCAGGUAAGUCAGUGGUGAAAUCUUCGAGCUUAACUCGGAAACUGCCGUUGAUACUAUCUGUCUUGAAUACCGUGGAGGUGAGCGGAAUAUGUCAUGUAGCGGUGAAAUGCUUAGAUAUGACAUAGAACACCGAUUGCGAAGGCAGCUCACUACACGAAUAUUGACUCUGAGGCACGAAAGCGUGGGGAUCAAACAGGAUUAGAAACCCCCGUAGUCC